Molecule: long non-coding RNA, 1201 nt
Filed under: Monodelphis domestica (gray short-tailed opossum)
Lineage: Eukaryota; Metazoa; Chordata; Mammalia; Didelphimorphia; Didelphidae
Description: lncRNA (ENSMODG00000033446.2)
Source: RNAcentral
GUAACUUCCAAAUUUUGACAUCUUGAGUCAAAACCCUGAUUAUUCUGCUUUUUUUUUUUUGCAGCUUUCAUGAGAGGCCUUUCCCUUUCCCCCACUUCCCAGCUACUGUCAUUUCUCCCUCAAGAUGUGGUCUGGAUGGAGGCCCAGAAGUGUCUGCCAUUGACUGUACUCCAAGUUCAGGAAGGUGCAGUGGGCAGAUGAGAACAUUUUGUUCCAACAUCCUUGAAGAUGGCUGAAGCUGCAAUGGUGGAUUGCUUAGAACUUGAUCAGACAUCAAAGAUGCCAAGGCCAUCCACUGUACCCUGAGUCAUCAAAAACCAUCCUGACUUCUGUUUUGCCACUGGACUUAGAUGACUGGAAGAGAGAGUGAAGCUGAUGACUUUGUGUAACUUUGCCUCAUUUAAAUCCAAAUCAUUCACAAGUCAACUCAUGAUGUGUCAUUGGUUCUCUUCAAAAUGGAAGACAAUAAUAACUCAUAUAGAACCUGACUGUGUCCUGUAACCAAUGCAGUUUUUUCAGUAUAUAGUUUAUGUUUAUCCUCUCAAAGAGGUCUCAUUUUAGGUAGACCAUCUAUAUAUGUUGGUCCUAGGUUUGAAUCAGUAUAAUAGUAUGGUUAAAUCAUAGAAUUUAAAAUUAGAAGGGAUCUUAGCAACCAGUCUAAUCAAUCCAAAGGGAAAAAAAGAAAACUAUUUGUUUUUAAGGAAUUUAUAUCCUAUUAGCAAAGACAACACACAUACAUAUAUAUAUAUAUAUUUAUAUACACAAAUAUAUAAAUAUGUAACAGUUUUUUGACUGUUUAGGAAAGAACACCAGUAAUUAUGGAAGAGGUGAGGAAAGAGUUUGUGUACAAGGUUGUACAAGAACAGAAUCUUGAAGGAAAUCAAGAAUUCUAUGAGGUGGAGGUAAGGAUAGAAGACAUUUAAGACACAGGUGGCAGGCAGUGAAAACAUGGAAAUAGCAGAUGAUAGCUGUGUAUGAAGAAGAAGAAGGCCAUGUUGACUAAUCUGGAAAGUGUGAAAAAGGAAGGACAAUAAUGAAAUUGAAAAGAUAGGUUCAAGCCAGGUGAUAAAGUUUAAAAUGGAAACAUAAGAGUUCUAUAUUUAUUGUAUUCUAGAAACAAUAGGGAGACACUCAUUUUAUAGAAAAGGAAACCGAUAUUCCCAAGAGGGAAAGUGACUUGGCCCAGAUCAUGUGAGAUAGU